CCCUUAGAUGUUCUGGGCUGCACGCGCGCUACACUGAAGCGUUCAACGAGUAUUUCACCUUGCCCGGGAGGGUUGGGUAAUCUUUUUAAAACGCUUCGUGAUGGGGAUAGAUUAUUGCAAUUAUUAAUCUUCAACGAGGAAUUCCUAGUAAGCGCGAGUCAUCAGCUCGUGCUGAUUACGUCCCUGCCCUUUGUACACACCGCCCGUCGCUCCUACCGAUUGAGUGGUCCGGUGAAUAAUUCGGACUGCAGCAGUGCUUGGUCCUCCGGGCUUUGCAGCGGAAAGUUUAGUGAACCUUAUCACUUAGAGGAAGGAGAAGUCGUAACA
This 327-nucleotide ribosomal RNA is filed under the name uncultured eukaryote. RNAcentral describes it as "partial 18S ribosomal RNA". It matches the Rfam family "Eukaryotic small subunit ribosomal RNA", at positions 1470 to 1796 of the family's 1831-position model. The record is from RNAcentral.